RNAcentral lists this long non-coding RNA (1423 nucleotides) under Marmota monax (woodchuck). Lineage: Eukaryota; Metazoa; Chordata; Mammalia; Rodentia; Sciuridae. The record is from RNAcentral.
CUUCAAUAGACUAGAUAUACUCUAGAAGCACAGGAAACUGAACAUUCAUUACAUUAAGGUAGGUUUUAAACAAAUUAAUAAAAAUAAUUUUGUAUUUAACAUCUGAAAAAGUUCCAAUUUUUUAAAAUCCCGAAAUGUGCAUUGAUUCUUCAUACAGAAGGAAGUAGAUUUCCACCCACUUAUACAAUGGCAGGUGUUUUCAAAAACAGCUGGGCAUACCCUUCAGCCACCUGGAAAAUUUCAUCUCAUUCUUCAAAUCUUAAUUUAAGAAUUGCCUUCCCUAUGAGGUUUUUUCUAAUUAAUUUCUCCAGGCAAGCUCAGGUUCUUAGCUUUGCCUGUCUAGUACAUAUUAUACAAAUCUCUAAAUAUGUACAAUAUAUUCUGAUGGCUUCUUCCUUAUUGUAUCCUUAAUUGACUGUAAACUCCUUGAAAUUGGAAGCAUGUGUGUUGUUCAUAUUUGUACCCUUAACACAUUAAAAUACCUCAUAGAUAAUAAAUGUUUGAAAAAUGAAUGAGAGUAAUACAAUUAUCUCCCUGAACUCAGAACAUGAAUCUCUAUGAUGCAUUGACAUGAUCAACUGACUUAGUCUACGAAAACUGUGAUUAAUAAACCAGGUCUUCCUGAAAUAGUUUAGCAAGUCAGCUAUCGAUGUUCAGUACUGACUUUUCACACUAUUGCUGUAAUGUACAGGGAAUAGACCAAGUAGGAGGAAGAAGGGUACUCUUAGUUCUCUCUUUUACCAGUGUCAGCAUUAGGAAUUAUAGCACAGAGUUCCUGACCAGGUUAGCAAAACUUUAAUAUUGUCUUGGAGUUCACAGUCUUGACCCUCAUUCUUUCAUGCUUUUCUAUUAAAGGUCAUGCACAUUCAUUUCUUCAGCCACCACCCACACUAAUGAGUCCUUCAUCUCUCCUUCUCUAGUGUAGAAUUUUUUUUUUUUUUUAGUUUUAGACACAUAAAUCCAUGUAUUAACUGGUUAUCUCCUUCAGGAUGUAGAACUCCCACUGAAGCCAACUUUUCUUCCUGUGUUCCUUUUCUUGUGAACUAGAUUAUGAUGACCCCAUCAACUUUUCUGAGCUGGGAACCCUGGAGUUUUUUCAACCUCUUCCUCUCAGGCCUGCUGCUCAAUAAAUUAUUGGUUGGUACUGCUUUUGAUAUUAACACUACAUAGUUAUGUGGGUGGUAUUUGGAGUCAUUGGGAUUCAAGUUUGUUCCCAUUGUAUUUUGGCUGUGUAAAGCUUGUGAAAUUUUUUGAAGUUUUCAUCUCCAGAAUAAAUAACAGUACAGGGCAUCUUAAUUGUGUUGUUGAGAAGGUUAAAUGAAAUAAAACUGUUUGUAAAUAUCUCUUAACAUAUCCUUAGCUUAUAGUAUAUAAGAAAUGUUUUGUUAAUACUAGGUUAUUUGUAUUGUUAGUCUUCUUUUUA